RNAcentral lists this ribosomal RNA (398 nucleotides) under uncultured bacterium. Its description in RNAcentral is "partial 16S ribosomal RNA". It matches the Rfam family "Bacterial small subunit ribosomal RNA", at positions 359 to 774 of the family's 1533-position model. The record is from RNAcentral.
GAAUCUUGCGCAAUGGGCGAAAGCCUGACGCAGCCAUGCCGCGUGAAUGAUGAAGGUCUUAGGAUUGUAAAAUUCUUUCACCGGGGACGAUAAUGACGGUACCCGGAGAAGACGCCCCGGCUAACUUCGUGCCCGCAGCCGCGGUAAUACGCAGGGGGCUAGCGUUGCCCGGAAUUACUGGGCGUAAAGGGCGCGUAGGCGGAACGUUAUGUCAGAGGUGAAAUCCCAGGGCUCAACCCUGGAACUGCCGUUGAUACUGGCGAUCUUGAGUAUGAGAGAGGUAUGUGGAACUCCGAGUGUAGAGGGGAAAUUCGUAGAUAUUCGGAAGAACACCAGUGGCGAAGGCGACAUACUGGCUCAUUACUGACGCUGAGGCGCGAAAGCGUGGGGAGCAAACA